Molecule: ribosomal RNA, 608 nt
Filed under: bacterium SL1.39
Lineage: Bacteria
Description: bacterial SSU rRNA
Rfam family: Bacterial small subunit ribosomal RNA
Source: RNAcentral
GCAGUCGAGCGGACUUAUAAAAGCUUGCUUUUGUAAGUCAGCGGCGGACGGGUGAGUAACACGUGGGCAACCUGCCCAUAAGCCUGGGAUAACUUCGGGAAACCGGAGCUAAUACCGGAUAAUAUAAGGAACCUCCUGGUUCUUUAUUGAAAGAUGGUUUCGGCUAUCGCUUAUGGAUGGGCCCGCGGCGCAUUAGCUAGUUGGUGAGGUAACGGCUCACCAAGGCGACGAUGCGUAGCCGACCUGAGAGGGUGAUCGGCCACACUGGGACUGAGACACGGCCCAGACUCCUACGGGAGGCAGCAGUAGGGAAUCUUCCACAAUGGACGAAAGUCUGAUGGAGCAACGCCGCGUGAGCGAUGAAGGCCUUCGGGUCGUAAAGCUCUGUUGUUAGGGAAGAACAAGUGCGAGAGUAACUGCUCGCACCUUGACGGUACCUAACCAGAAAGCCACGGCUAACUACGUGCCAGCAGCCGCGGUAAUACGUAGGUGGCAAGCGUUGUCCGGAAUUAUUGGGCGUAAAGCGCGCGCAGGCGGUUUCUUAAGUCUGAUGUGAAAGCCCACGGCUCAACCGUGGAGGGUCAUUGGAAACUGGGGAACUUGAGUGC